GCCAGGUGCGGUGGCUCACACCUGUAAUCCCAGUGGCUUUGGGAGGCUGAGGCAGGAGGAUCAAGGGUUCGAAGCCAGCCUCAGCAAUGGUGAGGCACUAAGCAACUCAGUGAGACCCUGUCUCUA
This 126-nucleotide small RNA is filed under the name Marmota monax (woodchuck). The record is from RNAcentral. Lineage: Eukaryota; Metazoa; Chordata; Mammalia; Rodentia; Sciuridae.